AGAGCCAUUUGCAAAACUACUGUGCAAUUGGAAAGAAAAGAACAGCAUGGCCUCCUCGCCUCUCCCUAAGAACCCUACAGAGAAACAUGGGCUCCCUGCUCUGACAGCUCCCAGGGGGAUAAAGACACUGAAGGCCGGCUCAGAGAUAAAAGGUCAGCCACUGUGUGAACGUGACUCCACAUGCAACCUGAAUCCUGCUGGAAACGGACAUGGUCCCCGUGUGAAGACAGGCUACGUCCAUCUAUCAGAUGCUAGGACAAGAACCCCACGACUUGCCGACCAGCAGCUCCUGGGAGGUCGGGAUCGUCAACAGUCACCAGCUCCCAGGCGUCACGUGGAGCAAUCACAGAGGACCGAGGCCUAGAGCCAGGACCUGAUGUCCCCUGAAAGGACCUGUGGGGCUGGGAGAACUGAGUGACUCGGAACUUCCUCCAG
RNAcentral lists this long non-coding RNA (435 nucleotides) under Mus pahari (shrew mouse). Its description in RNAcentral is "lncRNA (MGP_PahariEiJ_G0004693.1)". The record is from RNAcentral. Lineage: Eukaryota; Metazoa; Chordata; Mammalia; Rodentia; Muridae.